AGCUUCCUCUGAAAAUUCCUCAAAAAUCGCCAAAUUCCGAGCUCCCAAGUCCAAAAAUGAAGAAUGAAAUCAAACCCUCGAAUUUCUCUUUUCUGCCCAAGCGUGACCGCACCUGCGACAUAAUUAGCCGCAUAUGCGCAACCGCAGGUGCGCAUUUCCAACUGCACCUACGCUUCCUCUCGCUUCUGCAUCCCAGAAUCCGCACAUGCGGAGCCUGCCAAGUCCAGCUCUUCUCGCACCUGCGCAUCCAUCUUCGCAUCUGCGGGCAUUGCAGAUGCAGAAUUUUCCACGCGCCUGCGAUCCCUGGCACUCCUCCACUUUUCCGCUUAUGCGCUUGCCUUUCCGUACGUGCGCUCCCACACCUGCGGUCUCUUCACUGCAGGUGCGAAAAUACCAGAAACCUGAAGACUUAGCAGCAACACAAAUCAAACUUUUAAUCCGUUAAGCACCCGAAACUCACCUGAAGCCCUCGGGACCUCAACCAAACAUACCAACCAAUCCUAAAAUACCAUACGAACUUAGUUGAGCCCUCAAAUCACAUCAACUAACGCUAAAAUUACGAAUCACCCUCCAAUUCAAACUUAAAGAACUUGAAACUUUAAAUUCCUACAACCGAUGCCGAAACCUAUCAGACCACGUCCGAAUGAUCUCAAAUUUUGCAGGCAAGUCCCAAAUAUCAUAACGGAGUUGUUCCAACUCUCGGAAUCGCAUUCCGACCCGAUAUAAAAAAAUCCACUUCCGGUCCAAAUCUCCAAAAAUUCGACUUUCACCAUUUCAAGCCUAAAUCAGCUACAGACCUCGGAUUUAUAGUCCGGACACGCUUCUAAGUCUAAAAUCACCCAACAGAGCUAAUAGAAUCGACGGAACUCCAUUCUGGAAUCGUCUUCACAUAGUUCCGACUACGGUCAAAAUCCUAAGACUUAAGCUUCCGUUUUAAGGACUAAGUGUCCCAAAUCACUUUGAAACAUCCGGUAAACGAAUUCAACCACGCACGCAAGUCAAUACACAUAAUAUGAAACUGCUCAGGGCCUUAUACCGCCGGACGGGACUUAAAUUCUCAAAACGACCUGCCAAGUCGUUAUAAGAAUAGAUCAAAAUAUGAUGUUGGCUUACUUGACAAUUUGACUACAAAGUCUCUUUUAGUAAAAAUAGCUUCGUGUUUAAAUAGUAUUUACCGAAUACUUGUCUCUUCUUAAUUUAAUCCACAUAACCCAUACAAACAAUUCACUUUUUUUUUUUUUUUGUUAUUUUAAUAGCCUAUUAGCUCCAUGUGAUACUCCACCAAGUAACAUUGAAACAUACAACUAGCAAACUGCGGAUGAUAAAUAAAUAUGAUCAAACACAACAUUAGCCUAAACUAGCAAAACUAAAUGGUGUAAAUAUAAUAUCAUUCCAUCGAGACACAAAGUUCCUAAAACAGACUAAGUGGAAGACUAAGCACAGUUAUAAAUAAAUAUUGGUGAGUUCUUAACUAAUAAACUUAAAAUCUAAAGAGGUAUUAAUAAAAAUAUACUACUAUUGUUUCACCUACAUGUUAUAAAGAUUAUAUUCAAUCAUUAAUUUAAACUAUUAGCGAGUAAUAUGUUCUGUGCUAAACUUUAUCAAUUCAACCUGGACAGAAUCUAAAAUAAGUUGCAAAGAAUAAAGGACAUGGAAAUAUAAUUUAUUAAAGAAACCAACUCUAGACCUUGAAUAUUAAAACUUCCAGGUGGAUUAUUAGAUUUGAAUUCUCUUGGUGAAUAUAUUAAAGACAGAGACAAAUGAUAAGAAAAACUUGGACAUUGCUUUGAAGCUUUAGGCGUAUGAAAUUCCUUAAAACAAAUCAAAAUCUCAUCUCACAAUUACAACGAUACAAAUUGAACAAAAUCAUUCCAUGAUUUUUUUAUAAAAAUCAAACAAAAGAUAAACUAAGAAUAAUAUGCCCAUACCAAGCUAAAAAAAAAUAAAAAAAUCACAUAAACAAUAAGAGAGGAAAAGAGAUGAACCUUAAAUAGCAAUCCAAAUCGGACGGAAGUGUGAACUUGAGCGGACCUCGAAUCGGCAAACAGAGCUUCGACUCAACACCUUGAACUUAAUUCAACUCCACGAGAGAAGAUCAAAAUCAGAAACUAAAGUGUAUUUUUUUUUUCCGGAUUUGAGGAGCAAAAAAUGAAAUUAAAAGGUACUAAAAUUGUAGGGAUUUUUUGAUUCAAUACUACUCUACUAUUGAAAUCUAAACCUUUUUUUUUUAAAGUUAAAAGAAUUUUUUUUUUGGAAAUUUUCCUCCAAAUAAUGAAGAACAACUCCUCUUUUUGAUGAAUU
RNAcentral lists this long non-coding RNA (2301 nucleotides) under Nicotiana tabacum (common tobacco). RNAcentral describes it as "long non-coding RNA (NTAB_LNC005741)". The record is from RNAcentral. Lineage: Eukaryota; Viridiplantae; Streptophyta; Magnoliopsida; Solanales; Solanaceae.